Salmo salar (Atlantic salmon) is the source of this 3191-nucleotide long non-coding RNA. RefSeq lists it as uncharacterized. The record is from RefSeq and is a predicted model, not a curated record. Lineage: Eukaryota; Metazoa; Chordata; Actinopteri; Salmoniformes; Salmonidae.
CUACCCCUCCCCCAAACUGACACAUGCACACACACACAAAAACUCACUCACACACACUCCAGACAAUAAUAGCUGAAGCCAACAGAAGCCCAGCUGACUUUGAGAUAUAUGGUAUCAUCCGACAGGUGAAUGAGAAAACGUUUCUGGCUUUAGGAGUGAGUUGUGAGUACAUUUCAGGAUUUAGCGACUACAUCUACAAUGUUAUGUUAUCUGUAUUCAUAACCGAAGGACCUUUUCUCACCUAUUUUUGGGGAAACCUGUUGCGUUCUUGAUAGGAUUGAGUCUAUUUCACAUUAGGGCAACUCCAUUUGUUGUAGUUGAAGCAGCAGUAGCACGAAGUGCGAGAAGCUCAGAUGGAAGUAUUUCAGGAAAAGAAAGAGGGGGAGAAAGAAGGGAAAAGAACAGCGCCAACAUCAGAAGAGGCCUUACCAUCCAUCAAAGCAUCUUCCAGCUUUUCAUCUCGCCCAGACUAUCUAUACCUGUAAUUAGGUUUGGGUGAGGGAGAAGAUGGAUUUGGUUUGCAGCACCAUGCAGAGAAAAACAAGACAUCAGGAAGUCCUUACCGCUGUUCUGGGACCAGCCCUUAAUGGUGUCUAAUUGACCUGGUCUGUCAUGUGGCCAUGGCUUCAUACGGUCGGGGGGCGAUUAUCUAUAUGUGUCAUCCUGAAAGGAUUAGCAUUAGUAGUGUGUGUUUGUGUGUGUGUGUGUGUGUGUGUGUGUGUGUGUGUGUGUGUGUGUGUGUGUGUGUGUGUGUGUGUGUGUGUGUGUGUGUGUGUGUGUGUGUGUGUGUGUGUGUGUGUGUGUGUGUGUGUGUACGGUUGUGGGUGAGGGGUGGCUGCAUGGGGUUGCUAUAAUUGCCUUCCAGAUGAGAUGUGAGUGAAUCAGGAAAACAUUAAUGAAUUAAGAUAGUAGCCUUCAACCUAAAGCUAACCCAGUGAUCCGGCUUCCAGAUUUCCAGCAUUGUAAUUUGUACAACAUAGGUGGACAAAUCGAAGAGGGCAAUCACAUUCUUUGCCUACUCAAAUGCAUACAUGGGCUUAACAACACAUUAUCUGAAAGAGGACCGUUAAAAUCUAUUAUCCAAGUGCUCUAGAAAAAGAGAGGAGUGAACCCAGCAUCUCUUUUAUUUACUUCCUUCUCUGGUGCAGCUGUACUGCAGACACGCACAUCGCUUCAGUGACCUUCAGGAUGAUAUGAAAACGAAGGAUGAUGCCUCCGGUGUGUUUCUGGUGUGUCUCAUCUCCCAAGAUGGACAGCCGUGCAUUAUUGAUCACAAAACGCUUCAACAGUGCUAUGUACUGUGUCGCCUAUGGAAGUACAUUUGAGAGAACACAUUAUAGCACUUCAGGUUUUUCUGCUAUAAAGCGUGUGAUGAAAUGGUGUUAAUCAAUUGCGUCGGUUUGUUUGUUUGUUCGUUGUUAUCUCUCUUCCCCACGGUCUCUCUCCCGACCCCUUCUUGUUUGAAAACCCACAGGGAGGCUGGAUGGUAGAGCUGGAGUGACAACUCCCUUACCUCUCCUCUCUGUUCUGUUGUUCACAAGGCGACGGUCCCUUCCAUAACAACUCCCCCUCAUCUACAUUGAAAAAAAGCAAUUUCCUUUCUGCUAGCUUGUGUUCAACAUGCAGUCAUAGUCUGAAGCUCAUUGCAAGCAUUUGAAAGUGUGUUGAUAGAGCCCCAUCAGACCAAAAUUGUUUGUAAUACCAGACUAUUUGUCAAAUAAAUGCACAUCUUUCUACAAGAGAGAGAAACGCAAUGGCCUUUUCAUGUAGUAUGAAACCUAUUUACCUAUUGAUAGAUGUGUCAUUUCUUCAAGGCAGGUAGAGCAGACCUUUAACAGUACAGAUAAAUGGAUUCUGUACACCCUGCUAUGCAAGCUGGCAGACACUAUUUGAUAUCAGCCAAAUAAGAGAUGACAAAUUAGAAAAACAAGACGUGUGUGUGUGAGAGAGAGAGCUAGAGAGAAAGAAAGAAAGAAAGAAAGAAAGAAAGAAAGAAAGAAAGAAAGAAAGAAAGAAAGAAAGAAAGAAAGAAAGAAAGAAAGAAAGAAAGAAAGAAAGAAAGAAAGAAAGAAAGAAAGAAAGAAAGAAAGAAAGAAAGAAGAGAUGGAGAGAAAGAGAGAUGACUGUGGUCAGAUACAGGAAAGGGCUUUCAAGUGUCAUGUAGAAUAGAUAUCUCAUGCAUUGACUCAAAAGUACAGAGUUACUCCAUAUUAAGUGAAAUAACCUAACCUAAUAUAAAUUCAAAAAUACAAGACAAUGUAGAAAUAUGAAGAUACAAUACAAAUCAAGGCAGGGGAAAUAGAAAAUAUAAAUAAAUCAAGCAACAUUGAUUCUAACUGCGAACACAUUGAUCCCUUUUGUUUAUUUUACCUAUUAUCUAAUAUUUUACCUAAUACCCACAUUUAUCAGCCUACAUAUAUCAAUUAAAUUUAAAUUCUAAUUAAAUAACUAUGUAUUGAUUACAAUAAUAUUGGUAAUCAUACAUGCCCUGUGAGAAAUUGUGAUGCGUAUUUUGAAUUUUCAGCUCACAGUAAUGCACUCAAGAAUCCCCGAGUUUGAUUUAAUUACUUUAUUUUUCCAUAAUGAAUUUCAGUUGUACUAUUUUACAGGGGAGAUAGAUAGAGACGCUGAGAGACGCUGAGAGCGCAUGGCUGUGCUUCCUCUGUCCCCUGUCGAGGGGCCACAGGGGAGGAAUGCCCAUAGCGAGCACUGAGCCACCCUGUCAGAUGUUAUUUCCAUGAUGCCUAAGAAUGAUUGGGUUCAUAGAUCCAGUUGCCCCUCUCUGACAGCAGAGGGGACACAUCACCGUGGUUACCACACCUGGGAGAUGACGUAUGGGCAGGAUGGGAAACGUAGUCAGUACAAGGUCAUACCAGAGGUCGUCGGCUCGUCUCCACACCUGUCACACAUCACGUAUAACCCAUAUAAUUAUGCCAAGUCUUACUAAUGGACAAAACACAGAGUAGGUUUGAUAAUAAUUAGAUGAUUAAUUCAAAUGACUAGAUUUUUUUGUAAACAUCUUAUUUAUUAAAAUGUUUUAUUUGCUGGCAGAUGUAUUUAUGUGUGUGGGAAAUGGCUGAUGUGAUAAUGACAUGUUUGUUAGUAAAGGAAAUAUGUUAUUCUCCAUCUCUGGAGAUUACGUUUUGUUUAAAUGCAUACGAAGAUGAAUAAUACCCCCUCAGCAAACAAGA